RNAcentral lists this transfer RNA (63 nucleotides) under Linaeidea aenea. RNAcentral's name for it is "tRNA-Asp". The record is from RNAcentral. RNAcentral also lists the same sequence under 1 other name. Lineage: Eukaryota; Metazoa; Arthropoda; Insecta; Coleoptera; Chrysomelidae.
AAAAAUUUAGUUAAAUAAUAACAUUAGUUUGUCAAACUAAAAUUACUUAAUAAGUAAUUUUUU